CGAGAAUAAAUGGGUUUGCAUAGAUUGAAAUUGGUGGUUGGAUAUGUGGAUUUUGAAAGUUAUGGUUGGAUUUGAGAUUGAAAGUUAGGGUUUGAAAUUUGGAAGUUAGGAUUUGAGAUUUGUGGAUUUUGAAAGUUAGGGUUGGAUUUGAGAUUGAAAGUUGUGUGGAAAAGAUAGAAAUUGAAAGUUAGGGUUUGAGAUUGAAAGUUGCAUGGAAAAGAUAGAAAUUUAAGGGUUGGAUUUGGGAUUCUGAGAUUGAAUGUAUUCACAAUGAUUGAAUGGGUUUGCAGAGAACGAUGUUGGUGGUUUGAUUUGUGAAGUAAGUUUGCUUUAACUGGCUUGUGCAGAUGAAGUCAAGACGAUGAAGUGGUUCUGCCAUUUGAGAAUUGAAGUUGAUGCCGAGGAACUGAAGAUGGCAAUGUUGCUAGGUGUUGGUGCUGCUACAAAAUGGUGGUUGUGCAAUGAAUAGGCCUGAUUUAGGAGACAGGGAAUGAGAAUAUUCAGAAAAGGUAAAUUGCCAAGGAAUGAGAAUAUUGCAGGUGGUGGUGCUGUUAUUGAGUGUUGGAAAUGGUUGUCUUGUAAACAGUUAGGAAGUGGGUGCUGAUGUUAUUGCCAUUAUCACUGCUUGCCUUUCUCUCCCCAUCGAAAAGGUAAAUUGUUAUUUCAUUUAUCUGUUUCUGCAAUGAUUUUGAUUAUGUGUUUUUUGGAAUUGUGAGAUUUUGUGUUUCUUGACCUCAAUUUGGCUUUUUAUGUUGAAUUUUUUGUGUUUAUCUUGGUGCUUAGGGUAUUUAUGAAUUGGGGUUUAUCUGAUGGAUGCACUUCCCCCAUAAUUGUUAGCACAUGGGAUGUGAUAUGAAUGAUAAUGUAACAUUGUUGUUUAAUCAAAAAAAGUUGGUGUUCUUCUUUCGAAGAGGACUAUCAUUGUUUUUCAAGAUAAACUCAUUUCCUUUCUGAAGUUUUUGUUGUUUAUUUCUCAAGCUAGACUCAAAAAUCUUUUUCUGUGAGAAGCACAAAUAUGACUUCUAGUUCCAAUGUCCUGAUCUUGAAAUCUAAGUCAUCAAAUGCUGAAAGCAAGGAGAUGAAGAUCAAUAUGACACAAAGGAGAGUUGGUGUCCUGAUUCUGACAUGGAAGUUGACGACGAGAGCAGCCCUCUAUCAAAUAAGUCGCAGCCUGCAAGAAUGAAGAGAGAAGUCGUCGAACCUAACGUUAAAGAUAUGGUAUUUCGUGUCCUGAUCUCAAAUUUGAUUCACUUCAUGAGGAUCAGAAAGUUGCAGUAGAUCAAUUCAAAGGCGCGGAAACAAAAGCAGAAGAAAACUCAGGCUCUAAGGUAUGACAGAGGUCUUGAAGACCAUCAGUGUAGAAGAAUAAGAUAAAAGAAAUCAACAUUUACGGGUGUUCACAAAUUAAAAGGCAACCACCAGUAAUGUUCCACAACAAUGGCAACCAAACAAUGGUCUUAUUAUGACCAAUGAUAUCUCAGAUGUCAACCUUGAAGAAGCAGUGUUAUUCCAUUAUUAUUUUUUCAUGUUGAUACGAUCGUGGUGAAAAAUAAAAUCAGAAUAUUAGGUCUUGGAGACCUUGGAGUUCAGGGCAUUGGAAUUUCAAUAGGGAAGCCAGAUCUCUACGUCGUUGCUGCUGGUAUCAUUCUUUAUAGUUCAGGCCAAAUUCUCCAGGUUAACAAGAAAGUUGUGUAAUCUUUAGACGAUCCUGAGGAGUACCCUACCUUGUUCGAGGAUUGCCAGGUUGCUAUGUGGAAUCUCAAAUUUAGACAAGGAGGAAGAAGAAAACGAAGAAGAACAUGAAAGCCAGGAAUAAGAGGUUUCUGAGUUCGUAGCUGAUUGCACAGAGAUAAACAAUAAGUGCCACUACUUACAAGGCUAGAUAUGAAGCAACAAAAAGCUAUACUUAUUUGAGCAUGUAGGUAAUGAAUGAUGUUGAGAUUGUCCCUUGGUCUUGUGCCUUUAAGAUUGUAUCUACUACUGCUAUUACACUUAACAUUACAACUACAGAAAUUGUAUGUUCUGAAAACAUAGGAAAUGUUUUCUAUACUUGUCAUUCUUUUGAUAGUAGGCACAAAAUGCAGGGAAUAUGAUGUUGAUUUCCAAAUGAACAGGGAAACUUUAUUUUG
Molecule: long non-coding RNA, 2129 nt
Organism: Papaver somniferum (opium poppy)
Lineage: Eukaryota; Viridiplantae; Streptophyta; Magnoliopsida; Ranunculales; Papaveraceae
Exons: 8
Source: RefSeq, a predicted model, not a curated record